GAGUUUGAUCCUGGUUCAGAUUGAACGUUAGGGGAUGCCUUACACAUGCAAGUCGAACGGCAGCACGGACUUCGGUCUGGUGGCGAGUGGCGAACGGGUGAGUAAUGUAUCGGAACGUGCCCAGUAGCGGGGGAUAACUACGCGAAAGCGUAGCUAAUACCGCAUACGCUCUACGGGGGAAAGCAGGGGAUCGUAAGACCUUGCACUAUUGGAGCGGCCGAUAUCGGAUUAGCUAGUUGGUGGGGUAACGGCUCACCAAGGCGACGAUCCGUAGCUGGUUUGAGAGGACGACCAGCCACACUGGGACUGAGACACGGCCCAGACUCCUACGGGAGGCAGCAGUGGGGAAUUUUGGACAAUGGGGGAAACCCUGAUCCAGCCAUCCCGCGUGUGCGAUGAAGGCCUUCGGGUUGUAAAGCACUUUUGGCAGGAAAGAAACGUCAUGGGUUAAUACCCCGUGAAACUGACGGUACCUGCAGAAUAAGCACCGGCUAACUACGUGCCAGCAGCCGCGGUAAUACGUAGGGUGCAAGCGUUAAUCGGAAUUACUGGGCGUAAAGCGUGCGCAGGCGGUUCGGAAAGAAAGAUGUGAAAUCCCAGAGCUUAACUUUGGAACUGCAUUUUUAACUACCGGGCUAGAGUGUGUCAGAGGGAGGUGGAAUUCCGCGUGUAGCAGUGAAAUGCGUAGAUAUGCG
RNAcentral lists this ribosomal RNA (695 nucleotides) under uncultured Achromobacter sp. RNAcentral describes it as "bacterial SSU rRNA". It matches the Rfam family "Bacterial small subunit ribosomal RNA", at positions 9 to 700 of the family's 1533-position model. The record is from RNAcentral. Lineage: Bacteria; Pseudomonadati; Pseudomonadota; Betaproteobacteria; Burkholderiales; Alcaligenaceae.